RNAcentral lists this long non-coding RNA (2024 nucleotides) under Citrus x clementina. RNAcentral describes it as "Citrus clementina (C. clementina) long non-coding RNA (CCLE_LNC005295)". The record is from RNAcentral. Lineage: Eukaryota; Viridiplantae; Streptophyta; Magnoliopsida; Sapindales; Rutaceae.
CGACUUGUUCAGCCACUUUCGUAGUUUCAAUUCUGGAGCUCUGAAGGGGGUCAGUCAAUGAAGCUGUAGCUGAAUCCAUCAAUGCUGAUUCCUCAGUUUUUCUUUCCCCUGAUUCUUGUGGUUGUUGCUCUCCUUCGAGGUUAAUCUUUGCUUUCUGUGGAGUUUCUGUGGUUCCUUGCUGCUCAAAAAUUUUUGGCGCAAACUCAUCGCCAGUUUGAACUGGUGUGUAUGGGCUCUCAAUGAGAUCUGCUUCAGCUGGAAUUUGCUCCUCAGUUGUUGCACAAGAGCUUUUCUCUAACUCACUAGUUUCUUGAAUGAUUUUGCUCUCUGUUGCAAACCCCCUGACGCUUUCUUUUUCUGACAUCGCCAUACUCGAUUCCUGAUAAAGAUUAAAAGUAAUGCUGCUCAACUUGAAUUUUUUUUUUUUUUUUGAAAGAAUCAUCAUCAGUGAUAUAAUUAGUAUUUUCAAAACUAGUACUAUUUAGGUUCAUUUGGUCUUGGAAAGUUUGAGAGAAUGGUCACUUGAAAACAAAUAAAACUGGAGCUCAUACGUCCUCAAUUCUCUUUUUGAAGAACUCCAUUUUGUAGAAAAUUUCUCUGCAUGAUGUUUGUAAAGCUGCGUAAAUCAUUGAACAAGUUGAUGAACUGCAAACUCUUGUUCUAAUUUUUUUUUCCUGAAAAUGCUGCUACAAGAAUAACUGGAGCAUUUAUCAUGGUUGAUAUUUACUAUUUAAUUUUUACAGAAAAUCCUUUUUAUUGGCAAGGUUGAAAGGAGAGUUGAAGUAUAAUCUGACCUCAUUUUCCGGAGUUGUGGCUUCUGCCUUGCCACUUCCAUAGUUGCUUUCUUCUCCCUGAGUGCUAGCAUCCAAUUUGAUUGCUGAAUCUCCUGCCUCCUUUCCCUCAAAUUCAUUUGGACAGCCCUCUUUUGCAAUCAUGUUCUCUUCUGAAACUUGGUGUGAAUCCUCAACAAUUAUAUCUUCGGCAACAUCUUGCCUUCCAAUGUUCAGGCUUGCAGAGCCUUUUUCAGUUUCCUCAAGUAGCUGUUUUUUAGAUAAAGCUUCAGCUUUUAUAAAAAUGAAAUUACAAAAAAUCACAAGAAUAUAAAUCAAGUGCAUUCCCCUUUUCUAACCUUUUCAUACUGAAUUUUGUUCACUGCGGUUUUAAAUGCAUUAUCUGUCUCGUCUCCUCUACAUUCUUCGGCCUUCUGCCCGUCAUCUUCAAGGCUCUUGUUCAUUCCUUCACAAAUGGAAACUGGUUGACAUGUUUCCUCAACUUCCUUUUCCUCUGUAAUCUGUUAUAUUUCACAUUUCAGCCACAUCACCAAAUAUGUAUGCAAUCACAUUGAAACAAAAGGAAAAUCAAUUUGCAGAAAUGAAAAUGCAUCAAGUAUUUCCUCUGACCUGUUCUUUUGAAACUUCAGUCUCUGUAAUUUCAUUUCCUUCUAUUGUUUUCUUGCACUGAUUUUCUUCAGUCCUCACUUCACUAAUAGCCUCUAUUAGAUGUUUUUCCUUAAUUUCGGUGUCCUCUGAUCCAGCAACUUCUUCCUGAGAAUGUAUUACUGCCUCAGAUUGAAGAGCCUUACUUUCUGACGAAGCAUCGGUACUUUUUAGCUUUUUCUCAAUUCCCCAAGGCUCUAAAGCUCCGUCAGGAGUGUGGCCUUCUUCGUCGUAAGCUUCAGUUGGAUUGUCCUGUAAAUCUUUAUGGAUUUUAAAUCCCAUAGUGGAAACUUCAAGCUCCCUGGGUUCUUCUGUUUGCAAGCAUGGGCCCUCAUCUUCCAACUUUUCCACUUUUUGCUGUUUCUCUUCUUCUAUCUCCUCAACUGUAACGGUAGUUUCAUGCUUGGGGGCCAUUGGUGCACUUGUUUUCUCUGCUGAGGGAGUCUGAUCAGUAGUAAUUUCAUUUUCUGUAACAGGUUCAAUAGCUUGAGCUCUAUAGUCAGAUGCUGCUUUGCAAGCUUCUUCAGUGUUUUCAGCAUCUGGCUUCUCCUCAGUUGUGUUUUUCCCAGUCACAUCUAUGUCUUCAGU